GGCUGGGUCCCGUGCGACGGUCCUCCGUGAACCGAGUCAGGGGUGGAAGCCAGCAGCUCUCAGCGGACGGCGCCGGGUGCCACGGUCCGCCUGGUCGUC
Molecule: signal recognition particle RNA, 99 nt
Filed under: Actinobacteria bacterium 21-73-9
Lineage: Bacteria; Bacillati; Actinomycetota
Also listed under: 1 other name
Description: signal recognition particle sRNA small type
Rfam family: Bacterial small signal recognition particle RNA
About the family: The signal recognition particle (SRP) is a universally conserved ribonucleoprotein involved in the co-translational targeting of proteins to membranes. Archaeal SRP consists of a 7S RNA and homologues of the eukaryotic SRP19 and SRP54 proteins. In most bacteria, the SRP consists of a 4.5S RNA and the Ffh protein (a homologue of the eukaryotic SRP54 protein).
Source: RNAcentral